AUGGAACCAGGCUGGAAACCCGGUGCUAGGUAUUUUUUGGCAACCAUUGCCUCUGAGCUGACAUGAAGAGGAGAGUCCAUGAGCACACAAAAAAAACCAGAGACUACUGAGAAGUGGGGGCCAGAAUUCAGACCAGAGUCUGUUGGGUUUAUACCCCACCUGCGGGAGAUGCAAGAGGAUCCAUAAGUGCCCUGGGCUUUGUUUCCAAAAAUGGACAAAGCUGAGCAAUAAAACACACAAUUAGAAUUCAGUGA
Molecule: long non-coding RNA, 254 nt
Organism: Hirundo rustica (Barn swallow)
Lineage: Eukaryota; Metazoa; Chordata; Aves; Passeriformes; Hirundinidae
Exons: 2
Source: RefSeq, a predicted model, not a curated record